This 253-nucleotide ribosomal RNA is filed under the name uncultured bacterium. Its description in RNAcentral is "partial 16S ribosomal RNA". It matches the Rfam family "Bacterial small subunit ribosomal RNA", at positions 524 to 776 of the family's 1533-position model. The record is from RNAcentral.
CACGUAGGGUGCGAGCGUUGUCCGGAAUUAUUGGGCGUAAAGAGCUCGUAGGCGGUUUGUCGCGUCUGCUGUGAAAACUGGAGGCUCAACCUCCAGCCUGCAGUGGGUACGGGCAAACUAGAGUGCGGUAGGGGAGAUUGGAAUUCCUGGUGUAGCGGUGGAAUGCGCAGAUAUCAGGAGGAACACCGAUGGCGAAGGCAGAUCUCUGGGCCGUAACUGACGCUGAGGAGCGAAAGCAUGGGGAGCGAACAGG